Molecule: non-coding RNA, 416 nt
Organism: Drosophila melanogaster (fruit fly)
Lineage: Eukaryota; Metazoa; Arthropoda; Insecta; Diptera; Drosophilidae
Source: Ensembl
GCAAUUCCACGCCAAAAUCUUCGCAGGAUAUCAUCCGCCUGCCGCAGCGAAGGCAGCAAAAGCAGCAAUUGUUGCUGAUGCGACACGGCCGACGAAUGACGCAGCAAGUAGACCACAUCGUUUAGAGAAUUAAGAAUCGUAUCACGAAAUGCGCGCAGGGAACUCUGAUCAUCCAGCAGAAUGUCGCAGUUGGCCAGCAGGAGCGCCUUUAGCAAGUAGUACUCCUCCCUUCGUGGCGAUAUUCUUUCCAUGCGCUGUGCGAUCUGGACGCAGUGGUAGUAGAACUCCGUGUAACCGCACUCCUUGGCCAAAUGUUCAUCCAUCCAGACAUCCGUGGCGAAGCAUAACUUGCCAUUGAACGGUAGGGACCGGAAGGUCAGCUGGAGCGUCAGGAUCUCUGCCCACGACACCUGGAG